UACGUAGGGUGCAAGCGUUGUCCGGAAUUACUGGGCGUAAAGCGUGCGCAGGCGGCUUUGCAAGACAGAUGUGAAAUCCCCGGGCUUAACCUGGGAACUGCAUUUGUGACUGCAUGGCUGGAGUGCGGCAGAGGGGGAUGGAAUUCCGCGUGUAGCAGUGAAAUGCGUAGAUAUGCGGAGGAACACCGAUGGCGAAGGCAAUCCCCUGGGCCUGCACUGACACUCAUGCACGAAAGCGUGGGGAGCAAACAGG
This 253-nucleotide ribosomal RNA is filed under the name uncultured bacterium. Its description in RNAcentral is "partial 16S ribosomal RNA". It matches the Rfam family "Bacterial small subunit ribosomal RNA", at positions 524 to 776 of the family's 1533-position model. The record is from RNAcentral.